Molecule: non-coding RNA, 72 nt
Organism: Mayamaea pseudoterrestris
Lineage: Eukaryota; Bacillariophyta; Bacillariophyceae; Sellaphorales; Sellaphoraceae
Source: the annotation of a GenBank genome assembly
GAGUCAGUCGUCUAGUGGCUAGGACCUCUGGUUGUGGUCCAGAAAACCGGGGUUCGAUUCCCCGCUGACUCA